GAUGAACGCUGGCGGCGUGCCUAAUACAUGCAAGUCGAGCGAACAGAUGAGAAGCUUGCUUCUCUGAUGUUAGCGGCGGACGGGUGAGUAACACGUGGGUAACCUACCUAUAAGACUGGGAUAACUCCGGGAAACCGGGGCUAAUACCGGAUAAUAUUUUGAACCGCAUGGUUCAAUAGUGAAAGACGGUUUCGGCUGCCACUUAUAGAUGGACCCGCGCCGUAUUAGCUAGUUGGUAAGGUAACGGCUUACCAAGGCGACGAUACGUAGCCGACCUGAGAGGGUGAUCGGCCACACUGGAACUGAGACACGGUCCAGACUCCUACGGGAGGCAGCAGUAGGGAAUCUUCCGCAAUGGGCGAAAGCCUGACGGAGCAACGCCGCGUGAGUGAUGAAGGUCUUCGGAUCGUAAAACUCUGUUGUUAGGGAAGAACAAAUUUGUUAGUAACUGAACAAGUCUUGACGGUACCUAACCAGAAAGCCGCGGCUAACUACGUGCCAGCAGCCGCAGUAA
Molecule: ribosomal RNA, 514 nt
Filed under: uncultured bacterium
Lineage: Bacteria
Description: partial 16S ribosomal RNA
Rfam family: Bacterial small subunit ribosomal RNA
Source: RNAcentral